Long non-coding RNA from Balaenoptera ricei (Rice's whale), 1209 nucleotides. RefSeq lists it as uncharacterized. The transcript is spliced from 4 exons. The record is from RefSeq and is a predicted model, not a curated record. NCBI's taxonomy places the organism in Eukaryota, Metazoa, Chordata, Mammalia, Artiodactyla, Balaenopteridae.
CUCUCCUUGUCUCCUUUCAGGAAUGAACAUAAAAUGGGUGAAAGGGACACAUAUCUGAUGUUCCCCCAUCUAAUCUCAAAUCCACUCUGGCUUUUGUUAUAUGAGCAUCUCAUCCAUCUGAGUUUUGGAAGAGCCACAUCUACGAAGGCACUGACAACUUGAAGAGAGGAGUUUUCCAGUCCAAGGGGACGCCGGCAAGGCUAUAAGGACAAUCAUUCUUCAGAGCAGAGGACAACCAUGCAAAAUCAUUAAAGUGAUAUGCUUGUGAGGAAAUCUGGAAGGAAAGAGAACAUUUUCAUUGUACUCAGCCAAACAAGACAAAAUAUCGCCUGCAUGCCUCCAAAUUGAUCAAUCAAUCAUCAGUCAAGAGAGGUGCCUGCCACGCAUUCCCUCUCUACUGCACAAAUGCUUCCACCAUCACCUUGGUUGUGCCUUGAGUGUACCCCCCCUCUGGAGGAAGCUCUUCAUCUUUCCCAUGCCUCACAUAUCAGAAUCCAGGGUUUUUAUGGUUUGAAUGACUUAACAUUUUGUUGACAUUCUUCUUCUCUCCACAUAAAGACACAUGUUUUGUGAAAGAGAAAUUUUACACUAAACACUUGUUAGAAACAGCAAGAAAGACUUUAUUCAGGUCUAUUGCAAUAUGGGAAAGACUAUUGCAAUAGGAGAGAGAAGUUGAAUUCGACUCUAGGUACAGCAAAGACAACUGGGGAUGUACAGCCAAAGUGCAGAACAGAGUGAGGGGCUCAGUGGAAGAAAAUUAAUUAGAUAUCAAGGGUAGAGCCAUUCUUGUUAAAAUGGAUUUUUGCUAAAGUCAGGCCAAGGUCAGAUAUCAAGGGUGAGGGAAUUCUAGAUAAAUUGGCUCACCAAAGCUUGUUGCUAAAACUGGACUUGAAAAGAAGGCCCAGAGUGGCCUGUCUAAACUUUGGUCAAGGAGGGAGUCUUUCUCCGAUUCAGGGUUUUCUGGUCUAAGUGGCUACAGUGCUGGAGACCUUAUUAAGACACAUGCAUUCUAGAAGACUUUUCAUAAACCCUACUAAGAUUCAUGAGCCUUCUAGGCUCCAAAUUUAUAUCAUCCAAAUUAAAAUUGUAUUACUUGCUUCUCUUAACACAAAUGCGACUUACUUUUUGUACUUUUAUCACAAAGAGGAAAUAAAAUGUCUAGUGCAACUCUUCCUGUGAUGACUAAAAUAUUAAAAUAUGUUGUAAACA